AGUGAACGCUGGCGGUAGGCCUAACACAUGCAAGUCGAACGGCAGCACAGUAAGAGCUUGCUCUUACGGGUGGCGAGUGGCGGACGGGUGAGGAAUACAUCGGAAUCUACUUUUUCGUGGGGGAUAACGUAAGGAAACUUACGCUAAUACCGCAUACGACCUACGGGUGAAAGCAGGGGAUCUUCGGACCUUGCGCGAUUGAAUGAGCCGAUGUCGGAUUAGCUAGUUGGCGGGGUAAAGGCCCACCAAGGCGACGAUCCGUAGCUGGUCUGAGAGGAUGAUCAGCCACACUGGAACUGAGACACGGUCCAGACUCCUACGGGAGGCAGCAGUGGGGAAUAUUGGACAAUGGGCGCAAGCCUGAUCCAGCCAUACCGCGUGGGUGGAGAAGGCCUUCGGGUUGUAAAGCCCUUUUGUUGGGAAAGAAAAGCAGCAGGUUAAUACCCCGCUGUUCUGACGGUACCCAAAGAAUAAGCACCGGCUAACUUCGUG
Molecule: ribosomal RNA, 492 nt
Filed under: uncultured bacterium
Lineage: Bacteria
Description: partial 16S ribosomal RNA
Rfam family: Bacterial small subunit ribosomal RNA
Source: RNAcentral